RNAcentral lists this long non-coding RNA (600 nucleotides) under Elaeis guineensis (African oil palm). RNAcentral describes it as "long non-coding RNA (EGUI_LNC017685)". The record is from RNAcentral. Lineage: Eukaryota; Viridiplantae; Streptophyta; Magnoliopsida; Arecales; Arecaceae.
CUCUUCUAUUGACUUUCGCAAUCAACCCAACCUUCUUUGUGAGCCUUAAUGAAAAAUUUUUUCACUGAAGGUCACAUGGCUAUUGCGGUAUUCUUCAGAUGCCUUAAAUGCCUCCACUGCUCAAGCCAUCUCCUAAGUAAAGACAGGUAAUGCCUUCAAUUUCUCGACUGAAGAAUGCUUGGCAUCUUGAAUGUGCUCCUCGAUCUUUCUCUCAGCCUCUUUCUCCCUUUUCAGGAUGAGAGCGAGAUCGGCCUCCACCUACCCAAGGGCCCCCUGGAGAUUUUUGGCCUCAGUCUCUAGUUUUUUAAUUUUUGCCCGAGCUAUCUGAGCCUCCGUCUCAGCUUUCUUCUCAGCCUCUCACGCCUGUGCCUUUCUGACCGAGCGGUCCGACAAAUUAACGAGAACAUGGAGCAGCUGCAUUUCAAAUCAACUAAGUUAGAGAAAGUUUAAAAGGGAGGAGGGGUGACAGGAUAAGUGCUACACCUGGUGACCCAUAGUCAAAGACAGUUUCCUCAGACUGGAAAUACUCAUCUUGUCCAUCUACUCCAACUUUGCCAGAAUUAUGGAAUUCUCAACAGCUUCUCGAACAGCCUUCCAGUC